This 1242-nucleotide ribosomal RNA is filed under the name metagenome. Its description in RNAcentral is "bacterial LSU rRNA". It matches the Rfam family "Bacterial large subunit ribosomal RNA", at positions 1564 to 2815 of the family's 2925-position model. The record is from RNAcentral.
UGAAUACGAGAUGCUACGGCGUCGAAGCAGUCUAUGUCAUACUUCCAAGAAAAGCUCGCACUGUCAUAAACAAAUAAUGCCUGUACCAUAACCGACACAGGUGGGUAGGUAGAGUAUACUAAGGGGCGCGAGAUAACUCUCUCUAAGGAACUCGGCAAAAUGACUCCGUAACUUCGGGAGAAGGAGUGCCUUAUUUAUAAGGUUGCAAUAACAAGAUCCAAGCAACUGUUUAUCAAAAACACAGGUCUCCGCUAAGUCGUAAGACGAUGUAUGGGGGCUGACGCCUGCCCAGUGCCAGAAGGUUAAAGAAGUUGGUUAGCAUUCGCGAAGCUGAUAACUGAAGCCCUGGUGAACGGCGGCCGUAACAAUAACGGUCCUAAGGUAGCGAAAUUCCUUGUCGGGUAAGUUCCGACCCGCACGAAAGGCGUAAUGAUUUGGAUACUGUCUCGGAGAGGGGCUCGGUGAAAUAGACUUGUCUGUGAAGAUGCGGACUACCUGCACCAGGACAGAAAGACCCUAUGAAGCUUUACUGUAACUUGAGAUUGAAAUUGGACUUUACUUGCGCAGUAUAGGUGGGAGGCGUUGAUAAUAUUCUUGCGGGAUUAUUUGAGCCAUCAGUGAGAUACCACUCUUGUAAUGUUAGAUUUCUAACUUUGUAUCAUUAUCUGGUCAAAGGACAGUUUCAGGCGGGCAGUUUGACUGGGGCGGUCGCCUCCUAAACGGUAACGGAGGCGCACAAAGGUUUCCUCUGAACGGGUAGAAAUCGUAUCUAGAGUGUAAAGGCAUAAGGAAGCUUGACUGUGAGACCUACAAGUCGAGCAGGGACGAAAGUCGGUCUUAGUGAUCUGACGGUGCUGAGUGGAAAGGCCGUCACUCAACGGAUAAAAGUUACUCUAAGGAUAACAGGCUGAUCUCCCCCAAGAGUUCACAUCGACGGGGAGGUUUGGCACCUCGAUGUCGGCUCAUCGCAUCCUGGGGCGGUAGUACGUCCCAAGGGUUGGGCUGUUCGCCCAUGAAAGCGGUACGCGAGCUGGGUUCAGAACGUCGUGAGACAGUUCGGUCCAUAUCCGGUGUAGGCGUUAGAAUAUUGAGAGGAGCCUUCUUUAGUACGAGAGGACCGAGAAGGACAUACCUCUGGUGUACCAGUUAUCGUGCCAACGGUAAACGCUGGGUAGCUAUGUAUGGAGUGGAUAACCGCUGAAAGCAUCUAAGUGGGAAGCCCACCUCAAGAUAAGUAUUCUC